Molecule: transfer RNA, 73 nt
Filed under: Paramuricea clavata
Lineage: Eukaryota; Metazoa; Cnidaria; Anthozoa; Malacalcyonacea; Plexauridae
Rfam family: tRNA
About the family: Transfer RNA (tRNA) molecules are approximately 80 nucleotides in length. Their secondary structure includes four short double-helical elements and three loops (D, anti-codon, and T loops).
Source: Rfam by way of RNAcentral
GACCGCGUGGCUCAGCUGGAAGAGCAUUGGGCUAGUAUUCCAAAGGUCGUAGGUUCGAAUCCCACCGUGACCG